RNAcentral lists this ribosomal RNA (447 nucleotides) under Scaphiopus holbrookii (eastern spadefoot toad). Its description in RNAcentral is "partial 16S ribosomal RNA". It matches the Rfam family "Bacterial large subunit ribosomal RNA", at positions 1977 to 2581 of the family's 2925-position model. Lineage: Eukaryota; Metazoa; Chordata; Amphibia; Anura; Pelobatidae. The record is from RNAcentral.
UUAAAGAAGACUGGUAUGAACGGCAUCACGAAGACCUUACUGUCUCCUAUAUCCAAUCAGUGAAACUGAUCUCCCCGUGAAGAAGCGGGGAUUUCACCAUAAGACGAGAAGACCCCAUGGAGCUUUAAACUUAAAUCACUUGCUUCAAUCACUAAUCCACGGGAUAAACACUUAACCAAGCAACGAUGAUCUAUGUUUUCGGUUGGGGCGACCACGGAGAAUAAUAAAUCCUCCUCGAUGAAUGAAACAAUUUAAACCAAGAGCUACAGCUCUAAGUAUUAGAAUAUCUAACAUACAUUGAUCCAAUCCUAUUGAUCAACGAACCAAGUUACCCUGGGGAUAACAGCGCAAUCCAUUUCAAGAGUCCAUAUCGACAAAUGGGUUUACGACCUCGAUGUUGGAUCAGGGCAUCCCAGUGGUGCAGCCGCUACUAAAGGUUCGUUUGUU